AGUGAACGCUGGCGGUAGGCCUAACACGUGCAAGUCGAACGGCAGCACAGUAAGAGCUUGCUCUUACGGGUGGCGAGUGGCGGACGGGUGAGGAAUACAUCGGAAUCUACUUUUUCGUGGGGGAUAACGUAGGGAAACUUACGCUAAUACCGCAUACGACCUACGGGUGAAAGCAGGGGAUCUUCGGACCUUGCGCGAUUGAAUGAGCCGAUGUCGGAUUAGCUAGUUGGCGGGGUAAAGGCCCACCAAGGCGACGAUCCGUAGCUGGUCUGAGAGGAUGAUCAGCCACACUGGAACUGAGACACGGUCCAGACUCCUACGGGAGGCAGCAGUGGGGAAUAUUGGACAAUGGGCGCAAGCCUGAUCCAGCCAUACCGCGUGGGUGAAGAAGGCCUUCGGGUUGUAAAGCCCUUUUGUUGGGAAAGAAAAGCAGCAGGUUAAUACCCCGCUGCUCUGACGGUACCCAAAGAAUAAGCACCGGCUAACUUCGUG
RNAcentral lists this ribosomal RNA (492 nucleotides) under uncultured bacterium. RNAcentral's name for it is "partial 16S ribosomal RNA". It matches the Rfam family "Bacterial small subunit ribosomal RNA", at positions 29 to 507 of the family's 1533-position model. The record is from RNAcentral.